AAACCGAACUCGAAACUUCACUAACGAGGCAGCUUAUUUUCUAAUCCCAGUCAGCAUUGUAGGGCACCGAGCGACUUCUUGGCAGAUACUGCAUCUUCAGCCAGGAGAAGUUGGCUUAGUACAAAAGGGCUUUUGAAGCGGAAACUACAAGAAGAUGCAUCUGUCUUAAAAAAUAAUAAACCAAGAAAAUAAAAGAUAUGGGAUCCUAGAAAUAAAAGGUGCAACACGAGAGAGAGAUAAAGAAAAACAUUGACAACCUCUCUAUGAAGAAAGACCCAAAAUAACAACUUUGCAACAGCUCUAGAGAAUAAUUUGUUCAGAUAAGAGUAACUCAGGAGACUCCAAGAGCAAUUUUCAAGAAGAUUAAAUCUAUAGAAUACCUAAUAUGUUUGCAUGUGUAGAGAAGAGAUUUAUACUACUUGGAGAGAAUUUAGCAGUUCAUCUAUGAAUAUCAUUUGCAUAGAUACAGUGUUCGCUAAAUAUUUCUAUAGCCUAAGGAAGAUGGUGAAUGAGAAGUGUGCUUGUGUGUGGCAAGGAAGAAGAGGAUUUACCAAGUGGGAAUCCAUGGUCAAAUGCUUAAGACU
Molecule: long non-coding RNA, 584 nt
Filed under: Pongo abelii (Sumatran orangutan)
Lineage: Eukaryota; Metazoa; Chordata; Mammalia; Primates; Hominidae
Description: lincRNA
Source: RNAcentral